This 162-nucleotide ribosomal RNA is filed under the name uncultured bacterium. RNAcentral describes it as "partial 16S rRNA". It matches the Rfam family "Bacterial small subunit ribosomal RNA", at positions 358 to 511 of the family's 1533-position model. The record is from RNAcentral.
GGAAUCUUCGGCAAUGGACGAAAGUCUGACCGAGCAACGCCGCGUGAGUGAAGAAAGUUUUCGGAUCGUAAAACUCUGUUGGUAGAGAAGAACGUUGGUGAGAGUGGAAAGCUCAUCAAGUGACGGUAACUACCCAGAAAGGGACGGCUAACUACGUGCCAG